RNAcentral lists this ribosomal RNA (408 nucleotides) under uncultured bacterium. RNAcentral's name for it is "partial 16S ribosomal RNA". It matches the Rfam family "Bacterial small subunit ribosomal RNA", at positions 28 to 526 of the family's 1533-position model. The record is from RNAcentral.
GACGAACGCUGGCGGCGUGCUUAACACAUGCAAGUCGAACGGAGUGGCGAACGGAUGAGUAACACGUGGGUGAUCUGACUUGCACUUCGGGAUAAGCUUGGGAAACUGGGUCUAAUACCGGAUAGUGCAAGAUGAGCUCGCGGCCUAGCAGCUUGUUGGUUGGGUAAUGGCCUACCACGGCGUCGACGGGUAGCCGGCCUGAGAGAGUGUACGGCCACAUGGGGACUGAGAUACGACCCAGACUGCGACGGGGGGCAGCAGUGGGGAAUAUUGCACAAUGGGCGGAAGCGUGAUGCAGCGACGCCGGGGGGGGGAUGAAGGCCUUCGGGUUGUAAACGGCUUUCGACAGGGACGCGGUACCUGUAUAAGAAGUACCGGCUAACUACGUGCCAGCAGCCGCGGUAAUAC